CCUCUCGGAAGCUCCUGUCUGUGAAGGGUGUGCACAGAGAGCUUCGGUAGCCUGCGAAGCAGCCAUCUUCACUUCCACGGAGCAGAUGCUGGCCUGGGUGCUGGAAUGUGGAAAUGAGGAAGAUCCUGCCUGAGGAUUUCAUGACAGUGCUGCGAUUACAGACAUGAGCCACUGUGCCCAGCCUCACUUUAAAAAAAAAAAAAAAAGGUUAUGAAGCAUCUCAACACAAGACCUCCUUUGCUCAUCACAACCACCCAGUGAAGCAGGCAAGACAACAGAAACUCCCCACCUGUGAUAGAUGUGAGGCCUGAAGUCUCCCACGUACCCACGGCAGAUGCAACGCACAGCGGUGACCAAUGGUAGGGAUAACAAGUAUUGCUUCCGCCCAUUCAGUACUUCUUGUGUGCCAGAUCUGUGCUAAGUGCUAGAUGAACACAGUCUCUUUUCAUUCUCAUAGCUCUUUAAAACAGGUAUUGUUUUCUUUUAAAAAAUUGUUUUGUUAAAUAUAAGUAUCAUGUACCUUAUAUAUAUAUUAUAUAUAAAAAUACAUGUAAUUUACCAUUUUAACCCUUUCAAAAUGUCCAGUUCAGGAGCAUUAAGUACAGUCACAUUGUUGUGCUA
This 621-nucleotide long non-coding RNA is filed under the name Pan troglodytes (chimpanzee). RNAcentral's name for it is "lincRNA". The record is from RNAcentral. Lineage: Eukaryota; Metazoa; Chordata; Mammalia; Primates; Hominidae.